GAUGAAGAACGCAGCGAAAUGCGAUAAGUAGUGUGAAUUGCAGAAUUCAGUGAAUCAUCGAAUCUUUGAACGCACAUUGCGCCCCUCGGUAUUCCGUGGGGCAUGCCUGUUCGAGCGUCAUUUACACCCUCAAGCUCUGCUUGGUGUUGGGCGUCUGUCCCGCCUCCGUGCGCGGACUCGCCUCAAAGUCAUUGGCAGCGGUCUCGUCGGCUUCUCGCGCAGCACAUUUGCGCUUCUCGGAGCCCCGGCGGAUCAGCGUCCAGCAAGCAAUUUACCGUCUUUGACCUCGGAUCAGGUAGGGAUACCCGCUGAACUUAAGCAUAUCAAUAAGCGGAGGA
Molecule: unclassified non-coding RNA, 338 nt
Filed under: soil metagenome
Description: partial contains 5.8S ribosomal RNA, internal transcribed spacer 2, and large subunit ribosomal RNA
Rfam family: 5.8S ribosomal RNA (bases 1-120)
Source: RNAcentral